GAUGAACGCUGGCGACGUGCCUAAUACAUGCAAGUCGAGCGAACAGACGAGGAGCUUGCUCCUCUGACGUUAGCGGCGGACGGGUGAGUAACACGUGGAUAACCUACCUAUAAGACUGGGAUAACUUCGGGAAACCGGAGCUAAUACCGGAUAAUAUAUUGAACCGCAUGGUUCAAUAGUGAAAGACGGUUUUGCUGUCACUUAUAGAUGGAUCCGCGCCGCAUUAGCUAGUUGGUAAGGUAACGGCUUACCAAGGCAACGAUGCGUAGCCGACCUGAGAGGGUGAUCGGCCACACUGGAACUGAGACACGGUCCAGACUCCUACGGGAGGCAGCAGUAGGGAAUCUUGCGCAAUGGGCGAAAGCCUGACGGAGCAACGCCGCGUGAGUGAUGAAGGUCUUCGGAUCGUAAAGCUCUGUUAUUAGGGAAGAACAAAUGUGUAAGUAACUAUGCACGUCUUGACGGUACCUAAUGAGAAAGCCACGGCUAACUACGUG
Molecule: ribosomal RNA, 497 nt
Filed under: uncultured bacterium
Lineage: Bacteria
Description: partial 16S ribosomal RNA
Rfam family: Bacterial small subunit ribosomal RNA
Source: RNAcentral